AGGGGAUUGGAAUGUGUAGAGUCUCUUCGUUUAGAGGUAGCUCACUUGCAUCAUUUCUCAAGAUAGUUUUGUUCCCAUAUAAGAAAGUAAUAUGUUUUCAUUAGUUGUAAUCCUUUUUAUUAUGAAUUUCUAAAUUUUUUGGUAUCAGUAGAAACUGCCCGGAUCAAUGAUGCUCAAAAUUAUUAUUGCAAUUAUCUAUUUAUUUGUAUGCGUCAAGACUUUGUACCUUAGAUAAUAUGUAUUUCUGAUGAUUCAGGUUAGCUGGUCCAGGAAGUUG
Molecule: unclassified non-coding RNA, 277 nt
Filed under: Hevea brasiliensis (rubber tree)
Lineage: Eukaryota; Viridiplantae; Streptophyta; Magnoliopsida; Malpighiales; Euphorbiaceae
Source: RNAcentral